This 229-nucleotide ribosomal RNA is filed under the name uncultured bacterium. RNAcentral's name for it is "partial 16S ribosomal RNA". It matches the Rfam family "Bacterial small subunit ribosomal RNA", at positions 568 to 796 of the family's 1533-position model. The record is from RNAcentral.
AGUGUAGGCGGCUACUUAAGUCGGAUGUGAAAGCCCCGGGCUCAACCUGGGAAUUGCAUUCGAUACUGGGUAGCUAGAGUUUGGUAGAGGUAAGUGGAAUUCCGGGUGUAGCGGUGAAAUGCGUAGAUAUCCGGAGGAACAUCAGUGGCGAAGGCGGCUUACUGGACCAAAACUGACGCUGAGGCUCGAAAGCGUGGGGAGCAAACAGGAUUAGAUACCCUGGUAGUCC